Molecule: ribosomal RNA, 544 nt
Filed under: Heterosigma akashiwo
Lineage: Eukaryota; Raphidophyceae; Chattonellales; Chattonellaceae
Description: partial Bacterial small subunit ribosomal RNA
Rfam family: Bacterial small subunit ribosomal RNA
Source: RNAcentral
AGGCGACGAUCCGUAGCUGGUCUGAGAGGAUGAUCAGCCACAUCGGGACUGAGACACGGCCCGAACUCCUACGGGAGGCAGCAGUGGGGAAUAUUGGACAAUGGGCGAAAGCCUGAUCCAGCCAUGCCGCGUGUGUGAAGAAGGCCUUUUGGUUGUAAAGCACUUUAAGCAGGGAGGAGAGGCUAAUGGUUAAUACCCAUUAGAUUAGACGUUACCUGCAGAAUAAGCACCGGCUAACUCUGUGCCAGCAGCCGCGGUAAUACAGAGGGUGCGAGCGUUAAUCGGAUUUACUGGGCGUAAAGCGUGCGUAGGCGGCUUUUUAAGUCGGAUGUGAAAUCCCUGAGCUUAACUUAGGAAUUGCAUUCGAUACUGGGAAGCUAGAGUAUGGGAGAGGAUGGUAGAAUUCCAGGUGUAGCGGUGAAAUGCGUAGAGAUCUGGAGGAAUACCGAUGGCGAAGGCAGCCAUCUGGCCUAAUACUGACGCUGAGGUACGAAAGCAUGGGGAGCAAACAGGAUUAGAUACCCUGGUAGUCCACGCCGUAAAC